GCAGGUUCUAGUAAUUCGUGUUUCGUUAAUAAAUUAUUUUUUUCAUUUGGUGUAUGGGUCCUUGCGAUGUUUUUCCCAGAAGCAACGCAACCCCAUACACUUUAAUUUAUAAUUAGUAUUAUUUGUGCAAUGUUUAAUUUUUUGGAAUUAUUUUAUUAGUAGCAUGGAUGUAAAUAACUCGUCUAAAAUCUAAAAACUUUGUUAAAUAAAUUACUUGUUUUUAUUUUUACUGAUUUUUCUGCUGCAAUGCAAUGAAUAUGCUCUAAUUAAAUCAUUUAAAUUUAUUGUGAUUGCACAAUAAGUCUCCUAAACGGAGAAAUGUUGAAGACUUAAUGUUUGAAGUUAAAAAAAAGUGUAAAUGGGCCUCAACUAAAGAUACCAGGGGGUUGAGUACUAUAAUGAAGAGGAGAACAUGUGCACCGAUAAGAUGUACCAGAGCACUGGCAGCAGGAUUGCAGAAUUAAUUUCUCACCGCGACGGCAAGCACCAGGACUGCUAGGAGAUUGUGGUGGAUUAAAAAGGUUGAAGGUACCCUUUUUGGGGUGCAAUGACUGCUACUUGGUACAUCUUAGCAUUGCAUUUACCAAUAUACAGGGUUUACCUUGGCGCCCCAAUCUGACUUUUAAUAAAAACCGGUAAUUAUCUAUAGAGUGCGUAACUAACUACACGAAUGAAACAGAAUCUAUACUUAUUAAUUUAUUUAAUGUUACCUAGUUGUGUUCGUCGUAGGUGCCAAGAUAUGACUGUAUUUUUGUAGUCAUGUCUUAAGUCUAAAUUCUGAUAUACUAUUGUUUUGGUUGAUCAAAAAGCUUGAAAUUAUAGAUGUGUAUGAUACGGCGUGAUGACAAAGGAGAUCGCAUACAAUCGGA
This is a long non-coding RNA of Ctenocephalides felis (cat flea), 869 nucleotides long. RefSeq lists it as uncharacterized. Lineage: Eukaryota; Metazoa; Arthropoda; Insecta; Siphonaptera; Pulicidae. The record is from RefSeq and is a predicted model, not a curated record. The transcript is spliced from 3 exons.